This 1470-nucleotide ribosomal RNA is filed under the name Pseudomonas aeruginosa. Its description in RNAcentral is "bacterial SSU rRNA". It matches the Rfam family "Bacterial small subunit ribosomal RNA". The record is from RNAcentral. Lineage: Bacteria; Pseudomonadati; Pseudomonadota; Gammaproteobacteria; Pseudomonadales; Pseudomonadaceae.
CAGCUCUGAUGGACCCUCGCGGCAGACUUAACACAUCCAAGUCGAGCGUAUCACGUGAGCUUGCUCCGGGAUUCGCUGCGGACGGGUGAGUAACCCUCGGAUUGUGCCGGGAGGGGGGGGAGAACCUCGGGAAACGGCCGGUAAUCCUGCUUACGUCCAGAGGACGAAAGUGGGGGAUCUUCGGACCUUAACUUAUCGAAGGAUCCUAGGUGCAUUAAGUAGGUGGUAGGGUUAAGGCCUACCAAGGCCGCGAUGCGUAACCGACUUGAGAGGGUGAUUCGCCCCACUGGGAAUGAGACCCCGCCCCGAAUCCUACGGGAGGCCGCCAUUGGGAAUUUUGGGCAAUGGGGGGAAACCUGAACCAGCCCCGCCGGCUGGGUGAAGAAGGUUUUUGGGUUGUUAAACUCCUUUAUUUUGGAAGAACAAGCAUUGAAUUAAUUCCUCGCAUUUUGGACGUUCCUAACAGAAUAAGCACGGGUAAAUUUGGUCCCACCAGCCGCGUUAAUACUAAGGGUCCAAGCUUUUCUGGAAUUUUUUGGGCGUAAAGCGGGGGUAGGUGGUUCAUCAAUUUGAAUGGGAAAUCCCCGGGUUCAACCUGGGAAGUGCAUCCAAAACUGGUAAGCUAGAGUCCGAAGGAGGAAGGUGAAAUUUCAGGUGUAGCGGUGAAAUGCGUAGAAAUAGGAAGGACCCCCGGGGGGGAAGGCACCCUCUUGUCCGUAUAUUGCCAUUGAGGUGGGAAAGCUUGGGGAGCAACCAGGAUUAGUUCCCUGGUUAUUCCACCCGGUAAAGGAGGUUGAUUAGCCGUGGGGGCUUGAGAUCUUAGUGGCGCAGCUAACGCGAUAAGUCCACCGCCUGGGAGUACGGCCGCAAGGUUAAAAAUCAAAUGAAUUGACGGGGGCCCGCACAAACGGUGGAGCAUGUGGUUUUAUUUCAAACAACGCGAAAAAACUUACCUGGCCUUGACAUGCUGAGAACUUUCCAGAGAUGGAUUGGUGCCCUUCGGAACUCAGACACAGGUGCUGCAUGGCUGUGUCCAGCUCGUGUCGUGAGAUGUUGGGUUAAGUCCCGUAACGAGCGCAACCCUUUUCCUUAUUUACCAGCACCUCGGGUGGGGACUUUAAAGAUACUGCCCGUGACAAACCCGAAGAAGGUGGGGAUGACGUCAAGUCAUCAUGGCCCUUACUGACAUGGCUACACACGUGCUACAAUGGUCGGUACCAAGGGUUGCCAAACCCCGAGGUGGAGCUAAUCCCAUAAAACCGAUUCUAGUCUCGAAUUGAAUCUGCAACUCCACUGCGUGAAAUCGGAAUCCCUAGUAAUCCUGAAUCAAAAUGUGCCGGUGAAUACGUUCCCCCGGCCUUGUGCACACCCCCCCGUCACACCAUGGGAGUGUGUUGCUCCCCAAAUCCGUAGUCUAACCGCAAGGGGGACGGUUACCACGGAGUGAUACAUGACUGGGGUGAAAUCUUC